Hyla sarda is the source of this 635-nucleotide long non-coding RNA. RefSeq lists it as uncharacterized. The record is from RefSeq and is a predicted model, not a curated record. The transcript is spliced from 4 exons. NCBI's taxonomy places the organism in Eukaryota, Metazoa, Chordata, Amphibia, Anura, Hylidae.
UUAGCUCGGUUGUGACAAGGAGAAAUUUAAUUAAGUUCUGCAAUUACUUAGGAAGCAUCAAGACAAGCUGGGCCGCAGGCGACGCUGUAACCGGCAUAUUAUGGUUUAGAAAAAAAGCAGAGAAGGUAUAAUUGAUCUAAGGUGACCACACGGGCCAAAAUUCAAUAAAGACAUGCUGAUAAGCUGGAAGGUCACAAAUAAGGAGCAGUAAAGAGAAGGAUGGGAAGAUGAAAUGAAGCAGAAUGCUUUUAAGCAUCCAUAUCCUGGAAAAGUUUGGAAACAUCAAGGUCUGGGACACCCAGUGAAGAUCGUAACAGGGAACUAAAUUCAUUCUCUGUGAUGCUGCCGUCUCCAUCAAUAUCAAAUAACUAAGAACCACAUAACGUUUAAGUUGGAAUGACCUUCAUCAGAUCAUCGUAAUGCUUUGAAGGUCAGGAAAAGUUACAGGAUAUCGGCCUGUCGUUGUGCACUGAGACCAAUGGAAAAUGCAACCUAUAGUCACUAAGGGGUGUGCCUGCACCCGAUCAGGAAGGCCUAGUAACUUGUAUUGCUGUUGUGGUCAUGUGAGCUGGGUUGCUGUGGAGACGAGAGGAGGCUACGACGGGUCAGCUAACGAAGUUUGCCUCGCUGCGGCG